AUGGCUUCUACGUGCCAUUCCUCCGCCUCUACCUCGCCGGCUCUCGCAGCCUCGGUCGCCGUCGCGUUCGCCACUGACCAGAGGAACGACACCUGCGGUGCCGGGGGACCCUUCUUCACUGCGCCGGCGCAGGACCUCCAUGCCUCGGCCUGCCUGGAGGACCUCCGCCCCGGUGACCUCUUCGAGAUCCAGUGGCGGAAGAACAAGGAUUUCCCCUACGACUGGUGGUACAGCGUCGUGGGUCACCUGGAGCCGUGCAACGCGAACGAGCAUCUCUGCCGCUGCCAUGAAGACGAUACAAUCAUGUUGGAGUUCAAGCACUACGCGGCUGGGUCGAGGUGGAGGCAAACCACGGUGAGCAGGAAAGACCACCGGGAGAAAGGGGACGAGACGGACGGCUUCUACGGCGGCAUCAGGAAGCUGCAGACCAAAGAUGAGAUCUCCACGUGGCGGCGAUUCUGGCCGGUUGAUGUGCUCAGCUGA
This 483-nucleotide ribosomal RNA is filed under the name Triticum aestivum (bread wheat). Its description in RNAcentral is "partial small subunit ribosomal RNA". The record is from RNAcentral. Lineage: Eukaryota; Viridiplantae; Streptophyta; Magnoliopsida; Poales; Poaceae.